UCCCGGCGGCCCUUUCGCUAACGGCCUAGACUUCCGGAGCGACGUGAGGUCCCUACGUAAACAUCAGGCCGGGGCUGGACGCUCCAGGCCAGUGAGCGGCAACAACUGCUAGGCGGAGACCGUCCUGUGAAGAAAGAUCCAAGAAAGGCUCGGGACCGGCGGGAGAUAGUUCACUGACAGGAAUCUGUCCCACUGCUGCAACCAAACCAGAUGCCUUCUUCCACUGCACCAGACCAAGGAGAUGACCUGGAGGCCUGUGUUUUAAGAUUUUCUGACCUGGAUUUGAAAGACUCAAGUCUUAUCAAUCCCAGUAACAGUCUCAAAGCAGAACUAGAUGUCAGUACAAAGAAGAAAUACUCAUUUGCAAAGAAAAAGGCAUUUGCCCUUUUUGUCAAAACUAAAGAAGUUCCAGCACCUCCUUUUGAAUGUAAAGAGAAAUGGUGGAAAUGCUGUCAGCAGCUGUUCAUGAGCCAGACCAGCAUCCAUAGACAUGUGGCAACACAGCAUGCUGAUGAGAUUUGCCAUGAGACUGCUUCUGUUUUAAAGCAGCUGGCUGUAACAUUGAGCACCUCAAAGAGUCUUAAGUCUGCAGACAAAAGGAACCCUCUAAAAGAGGACCUUACUCACAACCAUGAAGUGUCUGCUUGGCUUCCUGAUACAAGCUGCUUUAGCCCUGAUGAGCUGAUAAGUGGCCAGGGCAGCGAUGAAGGGGAGGUGCUGCUUUAUUACUGCUACUGUGACCUGGAGGAUCCUGACCGGAUCUGUGCCUGGCAGACAGCUCUGUGUCAGCUCCUGCACCUCACAGGCAAGGUUCGGAUUGCUACAGAAGGAAUCAAUGGGACCGUGGGUGGAAGCAAAUUGGCCACCAGGCUCUAUGUGGAAGUCAUGCUUUCUUGCCCGUUGUUUAAGAAUUACCUGUGUAAGGACGAUUUUAAGACCAGCAGAGGAGGAGCUUGCUGUUUUCCAGAAUUGCGUGUUGGUGUAUUUGAAGAAAUUGUACCCAUGGGGAUCAGUCCUAAUAAGCUCUCCUAUAAGAAGUCUGGAAUUCAUUUAUCCCCAGGUGAAUUUCAUAAAGAAGUAGAAAAGUUUUUGUCUUGGGCAAAUCAAGAACAAAGUGAUACUGUCCUACUGGACUGUAGAAACUUCUAUGAAAGCAAAAUAGGACGAUUCCAGGGCUGCUUAGCCCCGGACAUCAGGAAAUUCAGUUAUUUCCCUAGCUACGUUGACAAAAAUCUAGAACUUUUCAAAGAGAAGAGGGUGCUGAUGUACUGCACUGGGGGUAUCCGUUGUGAGCGGGGUUCAGCCUACCUCAAAGCCAAGGGAGUGUGCAAAGAAGUGUUCCAGCUCAAGGGUGGCAUCCACAAGUACCUGGAAGAGUUUCCUGAUGGUUUUUACAGAGGGAAGUUAUUUGUUUUUGAUGAGCGUUAUGCCUUAUCCUACAACAGUGACGUAGUGUCAGAGUGUUCGUACUGUGGGGCUCCCUGGGACCAGUAUAAACUCUGCUCAACCCCCCAGUGCCGCCAGCUUGUCUUGACCUGCCCCGCCUGCCGAGGACAAGGAUUCACAGCUUGUUGUGUCACAUGUCAAGACAAAGGGAGCAGACAGGCUGCAAGCCCAGCCCAGAGCAGCUUUAAAGAGGAAUGCGAGUGUACGGCCCGCCGGCCGCGCGUGCCCAGGGAGCUCUCGCAGCCGGAGCGGCUCCCCGGGGGCCCGGGCCGGGUGUUGGUGGAGAGGGGCCACUCUUAGUCAAACUCGGCCGUGUUGCUUAUUGCAACUACCACAGACUGGUUUCUUGUCAGAGCCGGAAGGAAUCUUGAGUCACCUGGACCAACCUCCAUCCUCCUUGAGCGACCUCCGCCACUUCCCGCCAAGCUUUACACCUCCAUUCUGUCUCUGGGGAGCAUUUUAUAUUCCUUUAUAUUCAACAGCAUUUACUGAGUGCUACGAUGUGCCAAGGACCAGAAAUAAACGACACAGCUUAACAGGAGACCAAGAUACACCUACAUGAAGUUUGAUAAAAUAUCCCAAGUACCCUGGUCAAUCUCUAGCAUGAGAGGCACAGUGACCGGUCAGAUCUUCUGGGGAUGGCAGGUGACGUACUGGCUGAAUCUUAAAUGAUAAAGGGAUGAAUGGUGGGAAAGUACUGAGAACAUUAGGAGGCCCCUGAAGGGAGGGUUUUGCCUGUGUCACUAGGAAGCACUCAAGCUACCUGGACCAGUUGGUACUAAUAUGGCAAGAAAAUGGCUUGUCGGGGUGUCAAGAGAUGAGUUUGACAGGGCCUUGCCCGGAGAGGAGGAGGACAGCACAGUUUCCGGGACCAGGCUGCUGGUUCCAGUCCCACUCUGCCCACUGACAGUGGGUAACCUUACCUACUUCUCAAGGCCUCUGUUUCCUUCCUGUAGAAUGAGGAUAAUAAUGGCACCUGCCUCACCCAGUCGCUGGGAACAUCACAGGAGUACAGCUGAAGUGUUUAGCGCAGUGCCUGGCACACAGGAAGCGCCAUGCAAGUAUCCGCUAUGAUUACUAAGGGACUGAUAAGCCAUGUCAAGGAGUCUCACCUGACAGCAGUGGGAAUACAGAAAGGGUUCUAAGCAGAGUGGUGAGGCAAGCUUUGGGUUGAGCGCUGUGAGAGAUGCCCACCCCUGGAGGAGCUGGAGGACGCUGGGUGUUGCAGGACGCCAGGCUGAGGGCUGGGCAAGAGGCAGAGCAAGGCGGAUGGUGAGGAGGUGGCUGGCUGGGCUGGGGGCAGCGCAUAGAGAGAGGUGAAGAUUUGAAGAUUGGCCUGAAUGACCGUGAGGAAAGUAGUGCCCUUUCCCAAGAUGGUGUUCAGGGGAGAUGAUGAAACUGAUUUAGGGCGUGUGUGCUGUGUCUGGGGUGCCUGUUAGAAAGCUCUACUCUGAGAACGUAGUAAAAGAGUGACUUUCCCAGGAUGGGAUGUCUUCUGCUUUUAAACAGGUUCCUGCCUCCUCUCCCCACCCCAACACAGAGCACUGUCUCAACCUGGAGGCAGCCAUUCAGAUUUCAUUAAGUGGAGGGAGCUUCAGUGGCAGGUUUACAGGACCCGAGCAUCAGCCUGGCUCUCAGCUAUAAAUAGUGUGGAAACAGGAGUCAUCUGAGGUAUCACUGUGGGAAAACAGAGAUGGGGAUCCUCGUCUCCUCCCUGACACCCCCUCACCCUGGUGCCCUGCUCUCCCCCACAGAACUCUCUGUUAAGAGCCCAGUGCACAGGGUGGAAAGGACCAAAGACGCACCUGUCAGGAUGGCCCUGGGCAGGCCAUCUGUCUGCAGAGGCACUAGCUGACCCACAGCCUUGAAGACUAAAUGUCUCCCAAGGAGGAGCCCACCUGCCUCUCAGGCAGGCAAAGCCCAGGCACCAGCACAGAGGCGGGCUGGAGUGAGGAGGAAACCAGAGAAGCCCGUUCUGCUCCACACAGAGCUUGCUUCCUGCUGCCGGCCUGCAGCAGCGGUCACUGGAACAACCCUGGAGGCUGGGCAGGGGCUGGCAGGAGGCUUUUGUGACAAACAUACUCAGCUGGCAAACAUGGAAACCUGCCUGCUUUAUCAGAGCAUCAAGGGCAGGAUGAAAAUAUGGUGCUGGGGUAAAAAGUCAGGAUUUCUCUUUUGCAGGAGGACGCUGAAGCACUAUCAGAAGCGUUUCUGUCACAAAAAUUAGCAGGACACUUCAGAUAAACCAGGACACAUGGUGUGGCUUCUUGUUGUCGUUUGUUUGAUGGAUGGACUUUUUUGGACCAGCAGCUCUAGAAAAAAGUGGCACUUGGAGGAAGCAGUGAGUGUGCAGCCUCUGGGCUAUGAUUCCUUAAGAGCAGGAACCUAUACUUGCAACCCAGGGCCCUCCAGGACUUUGACAGAUGUUUGUUGAACUAACUCAAUCUAAAGCGUGUGUGUGCAUGUGUAGCUCUGUGGUUAACCACACAGAGGUUCUGAGAGUACCUGCCUUGUGCACACACACCUACACACCCAUCCCCAUUCUUCUAGGCUUUCCUAGAAGAAUGAGGAUUCACCUGGCCUCAGAUUCAUCAGCAGGAAGUGACAUACUUGAACCCUGAGAUAUGCUUUAGUAUUAAGCUCCUUGCAUUUUACUGAGUGUUACAAACAAACAAACAAAAAACAUAUUUAGAGCAGGUUUGAAUUUGAUGAAAAACUCACUGAAGACACUGUCCUUUGGAAACAUAGUUAUUUCAUAAUUCAACCCCAGAAAGAAGAUUUCUUCUUUUAAAAAAAAAACCAUUAUGCUUCCUUCUCUUCUAAGAAUAACGUAAACUGCUUUGUCUUCCUCCCACCUUGAUUCUAGGAUACUCACAGCUGAAUGUAAUGAUCAAUUAGGUUAACAGACCUACUCCUGUUUUUGUUUUUUCUCUUAUUUUCCUACAGCCUUAUCAGACAUACACCUCUUCGGACACAAGUUCUUUUGGCAGCCAGCAGGAAUACAUAUAACAAACUAUCCCUAGAGCCUGACAACCAUUGGCAUCUGGAAGGGCUGGCUCUUUGAUCAAGAAAAGAACAACAGUCACCUCUCCUUCGUUCGUGCAGCACCUAAACCUCCUCUACAGGCAGAAAUGCCGAGUGGUGGGCGGGGAUUUUAACACCUCCCCGCCCCGCCCACUCAGAGCGCAGGGAAUUGGAAGUUUGGAGAAGGCGAAGGGUCACGCAGCCAGGAGCAGCGAACGAGCUGGGAUUCAAACCCAGGGCCGCUGGACUCCAGGGACAGAUCUUCCCACUGCCCCACAGCCGCCUUCCUAGAAUACUUGAGCAGGAAGGACUUUCAUAUCAUCUCGUCUCAAGGAGAUUUAAAAAUCCUUCCGCCCAGUCUAACCCCCCAUGCUAAUUAAAUCGGAAUUGCUGGUUGCGGUCCUCAGGUGUCUGUGGUUUUGAAAACUCCCCAGGUGAUUCCAAUACACAGCCAGGUUUGCUCACCAGUCAUUCUGACUCAUUUCUAUAAAUGAAGAAACGGAGGCCCAGAGAGGAAAGAGGAUGUGCCCAACUCACACAGUAACAAGGGACUGCCAGAGUUAGCCUCCUAAAGCCUCACUCUGAUCAUGUUAGUGCCCUGUGGCCAGUUCUACAGUGAUCAUCUGACAGAGGUGGAAAGAAAGGAAAGGAAGACGUGAGCAUACACAGUGUUGGGAAGGAUAUGAUAAGGACAUUCAUCAGUCUCAUUUAUAAUAGAGGGAAUAAAAGGGAAACAAACAUUCAGCAAGAGGGAGUUGCUCAAAUAAAUGAUGGUUCAGCUUUACAGUAGAACACAGGCAGCUGUACAAUGAUGAUGCGAAUCUUUGGUCCCAGGCCUGGAAAGAUGGCCAUGAAACCAUAUUGAGUAGACAAAGCCUAGUGACAAAAGGGGUCAUAUUUAUGUAGUUACCUACAUUUCCCAUACACAUACACGUGCACUGAAAAGGCCUGGGAGCAUACUGGUGGUGGUGGGAUUUUGUUUUCAUCUUUAUAUCUUAUUGUAUUGAGUUUUCUGUUACCAUGUCUAAUAAGAUAAACAAAUAAACAUAAUCUUAAAGAGAUUUGAAAAGACAUAGAAGGCGGGCUAACAUCAUACUUAAUGAUUAAAGACCUUCUCCCCACCCAGAGCAGGAACAAGACAAGGGUGUCCACUUUCACCAGCAUUGCUGUGGAGGUUGUAGCCAGGACGACUAAACGAAGAAGAGAAAUAAAAGGCAUCCAUAUUGGAAAGGAAGAAGAAAAACUACUUCUACUUUCAGAUGACACAAUACUGUAUCUCAAACAUCCUAAGGAGUCCACGGAAAACUAUUAGAGCUAAUAAACGAGUUCAGCAAGGUCGCAGAGUACAAGAUCAAUACCCAAAACCCAGCUGUGUUUCUAUGCACUAGCAAUGAGCAGCCCAAAAAUGAAAUUAAGACAAUUCCAUUUACAAUAACAUAAAAAUACUUAGGAAUAAAUUUAAUAAAAGAAUUAAAGACUUACACUCUGAAAACUAUAAAAUAGCAUUGUAUAUUAAAGAAGAUUUGAAUAAAUGUAAAAACAUCCCAUGUUUUUGGAUCAGAAGUCUUAAUAUUGCUCAGAUGGCAAUACUCCCAAAUGGAUCUAAAGAAGCAGCAAACGGAAACACACAACCACCUCCAAUGACUCCCCCCUGCCAAUAACUGCUGCCAUCUAUUGAGAGCUUACUGUGUUCCCAAUGCCCUGUGCCCAACUUGUAGGGUCUCAGUUCAUUCAAUAACCCAACAGGAUUAUUGGAUUAAGCCCCGCCUCCUCCUCAGCCCCACACUCAGUGCCCUGCACAGUUAAGUCCCCGCUCGCCUUUCCUCUCUCAGUCCUUACUCAGCCUGUUUACCCAAGGGAUGGGGAUCUGGUACCUGGUACCUGCUGCCGGGAGAGGUUUGCUUCUAAAAGUUUACGUGCCCCCCGCCUCCAUGUGGAACAUG
This is an RNA transcript of Camelus dromedarius (Arabian camel), 6413 nucleotides long. It is a transcript of the gene named thiosulfate sulfurtransferase like domain containing 2, with no coding region annotated. The transcript is spliced from 13 exons. The record is from RefSeq and is a predicted model, not a curated record. NCBI's taxonomy places the organism in Eukaryota, Metazoa, Chordata, Mammalia, Artiodactyla, Camelidae.